This 431-nucleotide ribosomal RNA is filed under the name uncultured bacterium. RNAcentral describes it as "partial 16S ribosomal RNA". It matches the Rfam family "Bacterial small subunit ribosomal RNA", at positions 338 to 795 of the family's 1533-position model. The record is from RNAcentral.
CCUACGGGAGGCAGCAGUGGGGAAUAUUGGACAAUGGGGGCAACCCUGAUCCAGCAAUGCCGCGUGUGUGAAGAAGGCCUUAGGGUUGUAAAGCACUUUAGGCGGGGAAGCGGUACCCGCAGAAUAAGCACCGGCUAACUCUGUGCCAGCAGCCGCGGUAAUACAGAGGGUGCAAGCGUUAAUCGGAAUUACUGGGCGUAAAGGGCGCGUAGGUGGUUAGUUAAGUAAGUUGUGAAAGCCCCGGGCUCAACCUGGGAAUGGCAACUUAAACUGGCUGGCUGGAGUACAUGAGAGGGUAGUGGAAUUUCCGGUGUAGCGGUGAAAUGCGUAGAUAUCGGAAGGAACACCAGUGGCGAAGGCGACUACCUGCUGAUACUGACACUGAGGCGCGAAAGCGUGGGGAGCAAACAGGAUUAGAUACCCUUGUAGUC